AUGUCGUCCUUCGGUGCCUUCCAGGCUAGCCUCAACGGCCAAGUCACGGAGAUGCUUUCCCGCACCAACUAUGUCCUCUGGCGCGCGCAGAUCACGCCGCAGCUAAGGGGCGCGGGUGUCUUCGGCUACGUCGACGGCACUACACCAGAGCCGGCCAGGAUCCUCUCCACCAAGGACAAAAAGAUGGGAAGAAAUCUACUGCGCCGAACCCUCUCUACGCCGUCUGGGCGCGAGAGGACCAGAAGGUGCUCGGGUACCUGCUGA
This 264-nucleotide ribosomal RNA is filed under the name Triticum aestivum (bread wheat). RNAcentral describes it as "partial small subunit ribosomal RNA". Lineage: Eukaryota; Viridiplantae; Streptophyta; Magnoliopsida; Poales; Poaceae. The record is from RNAcentral.